This is a long non-coding RNA of Aedes aegypti (yellow fever mosquito), 1298 nucleotides long. RefSeq lists it as uncharacterized. The record is from RefSeq and is a predicted model, not a curated record. NCBI's taxonomy places the organism in Eukaryota, Metazoa, Arthropoda, Insecta, Diptera, Culicidae. The transcript is spliced from 2 exons.
AUUCCUUUCACCUACCGAAAUACAAGGUAAACGUAGCAAGAAACUUCAUACACCGUGUCUGUUCUCUGUCCACCAACCUAAACACCACAGCGAAGAAGGCAAUCGUACAGAAGCAUCUCAUCAAAAAUGGAUACCCAAGAACACUAAUCAACAGAAUCUUCCACUUGUACAACAACCAAACAAACCACCAUCAACGACAGCAACAACCCGCCUCGAUCACAGAGUUUCCCAUCCAAUCACCACCAGCAAUUACAGUCAAUCAAUCGAAUCUCUCGAACAGAGGAUGUUCGUCCACGAUAAUAAGGUCCAACACUGUGUCAUCACUACAACCAAUUAUCGAAGUCAACAACAAUCCCUCAACGCCUGAAAUCAUCAGUCAACCAGCAACCGACUCUCCAUCCCGAAAUCCAUCAAUCGUUAUUUCAACAACAAACCAGAAAUCAAACCGCAUCUAUCGAUCCAUUCCAUAUAUCGCUGGACUGUCGGAACGAAUCAUUCGGGUUCUAAACAGAGACUACAACAACAUCAUGAUAACAUGCAGACAAACCAAAACAAUCCAACGCUUCCACACAUUUGUAAAAGACCCUAUCGAUAAGCUAGAUCGUAGUAAAAUAAUAUACAAAAUACCUUGUAGCAACUGCCAACAGUGCUACAUAGGUAUGACAAGAAACAGAUUAAAAACAAGAUUAUACGGACACAAAACACACACCAACAAACUUAAUAGAUUAACAGAGUUAGGGUACAACAAAACAGAUGCAGAUAUGCUAUCACUAAAAGAGAAAACAGCACUUAUCGAACAUUGUAUUGACCACGACCACCGUUUCGAUAUGGAUCGCGUAACAGUAUUAGACAGUAGCAACCACAUAAAUACACUUACCUUUUUGGAAAUGUGUCAUAUCACUAAUACACCACAUACAGUAAACCAUCGCACAGAUAUUAGUAGCUUAAAUUCAACAUACGCAGCCAUCCUACAAACCAUAUAUGAAACAUUUCAAGAUCGUCAAAUUUCAAGUCAACCACCAUCUUCGAACCAACCGUUACCGCCUUCAGAUGUGUAGUGCAGUUAAAGUGGCUAUAUUAAGUGAAAUUCAAAGAAAAGUUGCUACGUUUCACUUAAUACUAUAUCCCAUGUACAAAUUCCAAAACCUUGACACCAACAGUUAUAUGUUAACAUACACGAAGAACGAUUAAGUAGAAUGUAAGUGAACGAACAUAACAUGUAACAAAACAAAUAACAUUCCCCUAAUUACAGUAUCCCCAGAAGAAGACUCGAUUCUGAGUCGAAACGUCGGGAAAAA